Molecule: ribosomal RNA, 497 nt
Filed under: uncultured bacterium
Lineage: Bacteria
Description: partial 16S ribosomal RNA
Rfam family: Bacterial small subunit ribosomal RNA
Source: RNAcentral
GAUGAACGCUGGCGGCGUGCCUAAUACAUGCAAGUCGAGCGAACAGACGAGGAGCUUGCUCCUCUGACGUUAGCGGCGGACGGGUGAGUAACACGUGGAUAACCUACCUAUAAGACUGGGAUAACUUCGGGAAACCGGAGCUAAUACCGGAUAAUAUAUUGAGCCGCAUGGUUCAAUAGUGAAAGACGGUUUUACUGUCACUUAUAGAUGGAUCCGCGCCGCAUUAGCUAGUUGGUAAGGUAACGGCUUACCAAGGCAACGAUGCGUAGCCGACCUGAGAGGGUGAUCGGCCACACUGGAACUGAGACACGGUCCAGACUCCUACGGGAGGCAGCAGUAGGGAAUCUUCCGCAAUGGGCGAAAGCCUGACGGAGCAACGCCGCGUGAGUGAUGAAGGUCUUCGGAUCGUAAAACUCUGUUAUUAGGGAAGAACAAAUGUGUAAGUAACUAUGCACGUCUUGACGGUACCUAAUCAGAAAGCCACGGCUAACUACGUG